Molecule: ribosomal RNA, 253 nt
Filed under: uncultured bacterium
Lineage: Bacteria
Description: partial 16S ribosomal RNA
Rfam family: Bacterial small subunit ribosomal RNA
Source: RNAcentral
UACGGAGGGUGCGAACGUUAAUCGGAAUUACCGGGCGUAAAGCGCGCGUAGGCGGUUCGACAAGUGGGAUGUGAAAGCCCUGGGCUUAACCUGGGAACUGCAUUCCAAACUAUCGGGCUAGAGUACGGUAGAGGGUAGUGGAAUUUCCUGUGUAGCGGUGAAAUGCGUAAAUAUAGGAAGGAACACCAGUGGCGAAGGCGACUACCUGGACCGAUAUUGACGCUGAGACGCGAAAGCGUGGGUAGCAAACAGG